GUUAUGGGGGGAACGCGAAGAACCUUACCAAAUCUUGACAUCCUUUGAAAACUCUAGAGAUAGAGCCUUCCCCUUCGGGGGACAAAGUGACAGGUGGUGCAUGGUUGUCGUCAGCUCGUGUCGUGAGAUGUUGGGUUAAGUCCCGCAACGAGCGCAACCCUUAAGCUUAGUUGCCAUCAUUAAGUUGGGCACUCUAGGUUGACUGCCGGUGACAAACCGGAGGAAGGUGGGGAUGACGUCAAAUCAUCAUGCCCCUUAUGAUUUGGGCUACACACGUGCUACAAUGGACAAUACAAAGGGCAGCUAAACCGCGAGGUCAUGCAAAUCCCAUAAAGUUGUUCUCAGUUCGGAUUGUAGUCUGCAACUCGACUACAUGAAGCUGGAAUCGCUAGUAAUCGUAGAUCAGCAGCAAGAUGACU
This 419-nucleotide ribosomal RNA is filed under the name uncultured bacterium. RNAcentral describes it as "bacterial SSU rRNA". It matches the Rfam family "Bacterial small subunit ribosomal RNA", at positions 944 to 1365 of the family's 1533-position model. The record is from RNAcentral.